ACUCUACUAGGAUGAUGCACAGGAAAAGGAC
RNAcentral lists this transfer RNA (31 nucleotides) under Oldeania alpina. Its description in RNAcentral is "partial tRNA-Phe". Lineage: Eukaryota; Viridiplantae; Streptophyta; Magnoliopsida; Poales; Poaceae. The record is from RNAcentral.